UACGUAGGGGGCAAGCGUUGUCCGGAAUCAUUGGGCGUAAAGCGCGUGUAGGCGGCCCGGUAAGUCCGCUGUGAAAGUCGGGGGCUCAACCCUCGAAUGCCGGUGGAUACUGUCGGGCUAGAGUGCGGAAGAGGCGAGUGGAAUUCCUGGUGUAGCGGUGAAAUGCGCAGAUAUCAGGAGGAACACCGGUGGCGAAGGCGGCAUCCUGGACCAAUAUUGACGCUGAGGAGCGAAAGCCAGGGGAGCAAACGGG
This 253-nucleotide ribosomal RNA is filed under the name uncultured bacterium. RNAcentral's name for it is "partial 16S ribosomal RNA". It matches the Rfam family "Bacterial small subunit ribosomal RNA", at positions 524 to 776 of the family's 1533-position model. The record is from RNAcentral.